AGUCGAACGGUAACAGGAAGAAGCUUGCUUCUUUGCUGAUGACUGGCGGACGGGUGAGUAAUGUCUGGGAAACUGCCUGAUGGAGGGGGAUAACUACUGGAAACGGUAGCUAAUACCGCAUAACGUCGCAAGACCAAAGAGGGGGACCUUCGGGCCUCUUGCCAUCGGAUGUGCCCAGAUGGGAUUAGCUAGUAGGUGGGGUAACGGCUCACCUAGGCGACGAUCCCUAGCUGGUCUGAGAGGAUGACCAGCCACACUGGAACUGAGACACGGUCCAGACUCCUACGGGAGGCAGCAGUGGG
RNAcentral lists this small RNA (302 nucleotides) under uncultured bacterium. RNAcentral's name for it is "bacterial SSU rRNA". It matches the Rfam family "Bacterial small subunit ribosomal RNA", at positions 60 to 358 of the family's 1533-position model. The record is from RNAcentral.